CAGUCGCCACGGGAAUACGAAGGGUGCAAGCGUUAAUCGGAAUUACUGAGCGUAAAGGGUGCGUAGGCGGUUGUUUAAGUCUGUUGUGAAAUCCCCGGGCUCAACCUGGGAAUGGCAAUGGAAACUGGACGGCUAGAGUGUGUCAGAGGAUGGUGGAAUUCCCGGUGUAGCGGUGAAAUGCGUAGAGAUCGGGAGGAACAUCAGUGGCGAAGGCGGCCAUCUGGGACAACACUGACGCUGAAGCACGAAAGCGUGGGGAGCAAACAGGAUUAGAUACCCCCGUAGUCCCUGUCUCUUAUAC
RNAcentral lists this ribosomal RNA (301 nucleotides) under uncultured bacterium. RNAcentral's name for it is "partial 16S ribosomal RNA". It matches the Rfam family "Bacterial small subunit ribosomal RNA", at positions 509 to 807 of the family's 1533-position model. The record is from RNAcentral.